UAAAUUUUCACGCUCGUCCGGCUGAACUCAAUUUUGAGUCGCCUUAACUCAAAAUAAUAACUUCUUCAGAGACGUCAAACUCUGAGUAACUGAGAAUUAUUAUUUUGAGUUGGUUUGACUCAUUCUGAAUAAAUCGAAGCAGAACUAGAAAAUGAGUUCACAGUGAAAAUUUCAAGAAGUUCAACGGUCACUGAUAGAAUUUCACCAUUAACAUCUUGAAACAACGACCCAAGCCUAUAGGCAACUGAAGCACAACUAUUUAGACAAGGAACAUAUAUUAUCUAUUUUACUAUUUUGGAUCUAUACAAUGGGACCUUCGAUUUCGCUAAGAUGCUCGCCUAUAACGAGGUCUACAGAGCAAGACGAUGCUGAAGGUGACCGGGUCCGAUUCUCGGUUCGGUCUAGGAAAUUUUCUCGACUUCCCUGGGCAUAAAAGUACCAUCGUGUUAGCCUCAUACGAAUGCAAAAAUGGACAUUCACAGAUCACUAGAAAAAUAGAUGAAACAUUUCCGGGAUUUUGUCGCCGCCUUUGUACACUUCGUCAAAUAUGUCAGCAUCAGUGACCGCUAUUACGACAUCCUGCUAUAACAGCAGAUAUGAAGGAGGUUUGGGCAGAGGUCCACGAUUAGAUCCCUUACUAAUUUAUGCUUCUUGUGCCAAUGCUCUUUUCUUCUUGCCGCAUCAUUACUCUCGUCAUUACCAACCACCGCUCAACAACCAUUUUAGGAUCGUUGAAUUAUUUUAUA
Molecule: long non-coding RNA, 746 nt
Organism: Armigeres subalbatus
Lineage: Eukaryota; Metazoa; Arthropoda; Insecta; Diptera; Culicidae
Exons: 3
Source: RefSeq, a predicted model, not a curated record